CCUAGCACAGUGAAGGGAGCGCUUUCCAUGAAAGGAUUGGCAGGAUAUCGGCAGGUGACUUGGUCCAUCUGGCUUUCUCUCGUGCAUCUUGGUUUAGAGACAUUUAUCAUGCACUUACACUGACUUUCCACUGAGUGGCAGCGUGUGGGUGGCUGAUGGUGCAACUAUGCCAUCAAACCCCAUGUAUAAGAAAACACCUUUUGAAAAGCUGUCCGCUGUAGUAGCCUCUAUGCGUGAAAGGGUCAUGUUUUUCUCCGUGUAUAAAGUGUAAACACAUUAAUUAGUGUUUCAAGGGGGGAGGAGUAUUUUUGUUAGGUGCACACAAAACGCCAACUCCUAUUGGUCUCGGGAGCAGAGACAUUCCUCCUGCUCUGAAUGCCUCAUCAUGAAGUCGUGUGCACAAACGUCUUUGUAAUCAUCUACUACGUGCCCGCGUGCAGCGUGACAGGCGCAGUUUGCACCCUGUCCUGUUGUUCCCAGAAGGCUUUAAAAACACCGCCCAUCUUCCAGAGCUCACAAAACACUCUCAUCUCAGACCAAAGACCUUCUCACGAGGACAAGAGGCAUCACCUGAGAACAUGGACCCUUGCGACUGCUCCAAGAGUGGGACCUGCAACUGCGGAGGAUCCUGCACUUGCACAAACUGCUCCUGCAAAAGCUGCAAGAAGAGCUGCUGCCCAUGCUGCCCAUCCGGCUGCACCAAAUGCGCCUCUGGCUGUGUGUGCAAAGGGAAGACUUGUGACACAAGCUGCUGUCAGUGAAGGACCUCUGCCCGCUUCUGCCUUUUGGGGUGGAGCCCUUAUGAAUACCUUGACUAAAUUUACUGUUGUGAAUGUCUUCAGAAAAUGAUUUAUUUCUUUUUUUGUACUUGUUUUCAAUGUCGAAAUAAAUGAAUUUACUUGA
Notothenia coriiceps (black rockcod) is the source of this 903-nucleotide long non-coding RNA. RefSeq lists it as uncharacterized. The transcript is spliced from 4 exons. Lineage: Eukaryota; Metazoa; Chordata; Actinopteri; Perciformes; Nototheniidae. The record is from RefSeq and is a predicted model, not a curated record.